RNAcentral lists this ribosomal RNA (379 nucleotides) under uncultured bacterium. Its description in RNAcentral is "bacterial SSU rRNA". It matches the Rfam family "Bacterial small subunit ribosomal RNA", at positions 1012 to 1391 of the family's 1533-position model. The record is from RNAcentral.
GUGUCUGCUUGCAAACUUAUAUACGGUGCUGCACGGCUGUCGUCAGCUCGUGUCGUGAGAUGUUGGGUUAAGUCCCGCAACGAGCGCAACCCUCGUGUUUAGUUGCUAACAGUUCGGCUGAGAACUCUAAACAGACUGCCUACGCAAGUAGGAGGAAGGUGAGGACGACGUCAAGUCAUCAUGGCCCUUACGUCCAGGGCUACACACGUGCUACAAUGGGAUAUACAAAGAGCGGCAAUACGGUGACGUGGAGCAAAUCUUAUAAAAUAUCUCCCAGUUCGGAUUGUAGUCUGCAACUCGACUACAUGAAGUUGGAAUCGCUAGUAAUCGUAGAUCAGCUAUGCUACGGUGAAUACGUUCCCGGGUCUUGUAACACACC